AGUGAAACCACUGCCCCUGGUCACGUAAGAGACAGAGACAGAGCUCGUCUGUGGUGCAUCUUCAGAUAGAAUAAAAUGGAGCGUGACAGCGGAUAUGGGACAAAGAGCUCUGGCAGCAGCUCUGAACGAGAACGAACUCAGUACGAGCCUCAGGAGGAGAGGAGGAGCAUAUUUGACUUGUAUCUGUCCCUGUAUGAAGACUCUGAGUCUGGACAAAGAAGUGUCCUGGUCAAAUACAAUUCCGAGUCAAUAGGAGUCCGUGGAAACUUUUGAACCACCCAAGAUGAGGCUGCAGUCGGUUUGGAUCAUAAUGAAGAGUUCAGUCCAGAGACUCAAGUGUUUAUGCCUCAGUGACUUAAUCCAGCACCAGAGGGUUUUUAAUCUUAUGUGAUUUUAACGAGGAAGAUCAGGUUUUCAAAAUGACAAACUGGGACACACCCAGGAUGGGAUGAUUAUAAAUAAAGUAAAAAUAAAAUUGUAAAAAAAAAAAAAAUGAACUUAAUCUUAACUUAAACUUAACUUAUUUGUGAGUCAGUUUAAUGUGACAGACUUCAGUUUAAUGUGAGACUUCAGUUUAAUGUGAGACUUCAGUUUAAUGUGAGACUUCAGUUUAAUGUGAGACUUCAGUUUAAUGUGACAGACUUCAGUUUAAUGUGACAGACUUCAGUUUAAUGUGAGACUUCAGUUUAAUGUGACAGACUUCAGUUUAAUGUGACAGACUUCAGUUUAAUGUGAGACUUCAGUUUAAUGUGAGACUUCAGUUUAAUGUGACAGACUUCAGUUUAAUGUGAGACUUCAGUUUAAUGUGAGACUUCAGUUUAAUGUGACAGACUUCAGUUUAAUGUGAGACUUCAGUUUAAUGUGAGACUUCAGUUUAAUGUGACAGACUUCAGUUUAAUGUGAGACUUCAGUUUAAUGUGACAGACUUCAGUUUAAUGUGACAGACUUCAGUUUAAUGUGAGACUUCAGUUUAAUGUGACAGACUUCAGUUUAAUGUGACAGACUUCAGUUUAAUGUGAGACUUCAGUUUAAUGUGAGACUUCAGUUUAAUGUGAGACUUCAGUUUAAUGUGACAGACUUCAGUUUAAUGUGAGACUUCAGUUUAAUGUGACAGACUUCAGUUUAAUGUGACAGACUUCAGUUUAAUGUGACAGACUUCAGUUUAAUGUGACAGACUUCAGUUUAAUGUGACAGACUUCAGUUUAAUGUGACAGACUUCAGUUUAAUGUGACAGACUUCAGUUUAAUGUGAGACUUCAGUUUAAUGUGACAGACUUCAGUUUAAUGUGACAGACUUAUACAAACAGUUCUUCCAUCUUCAUCGGUUUUCCUCUUCCUGAUGCUUUUGGAUUUUCUCCUUCUAUGUGUUCCAUAAUCAGUAUGAAUACAACAGUUAUAUUAUUUCUGUGAUUUUAUUUGGAUCAGGUGUAAGACUCAUUUCCUUCUUUCUUAAAAAAAAAAAAAAAAAAAAAGUUUAUUCAGGUAUGAUUUUGUUUUCAUGUUUUUCCAUGUGUGAUUUUUAAAAUAAAGAUUUAAGUUGAGUUGAUU
Molecule: long non-coding RNA, 1547 nt
Organism: Periophthalmus magnuspinnatus
Lineage: Eukaryota; Metazoa; Chordata; Actinopteri; Gobiiformes; Gobiidae
Exons: 5
Source: RefSeq, a predicted model, not a curated record